This 421-nucleotide ribosomal RNA is filed under the name uncultured bacterium. Its description in RNAcentral is "bacterial SSU rRNA". It matches the Rfam family "Bacterial small subunit ribosomal RNA", at positions 355 to 774 of the family's 1533-position model. The record is from RNAcentral.
UGAGGAAUAUUGGACAUUGGGCGCAAGCCUGAUCAGCCAUGCCGCGUGCAGGAAGAAGCAUCUAUGGUGUGUAAACUGCUUUUGUACGGGAAGAAACACUCCUUCGUGAAGGAGCUUGACGGUACCGUAAGAAUAAGGAUCGGCUAACUCCGUGCCAGCAACCGCGGUAAUACGGAGGAUCCAAGCGUUAUCCGGAAUCAUUGGGUUUAAAGGGUCCGUAGGCGGUUUAGUAAGUCAGUGGUGAAAGCCCAUCGCUCAACGAUGGAACGGCCAUUGAUACUGCUAGACUUGAAUUAUUAGGAAGUAACUAGAAUAUGUAGUGUAGCGGUGAAAUGCUUAGAUAUUACAUGGAAUACCAAUUGCGAAGGCAGGUCACUAAGUCUUAACUGACGCUGAUGGACGAAAGCGUGGGGAGCGAACA